UCGACGCGGAGCCCAAGGGCAACUUGGCCCGGUUCAUCAACCGCUCGUGCGAGCCUUGGUGCGAGCCCUACUGCGAGACGCUGCUUUGGAAGGUCGGCGGAAGCCAAUCCGUGGGGCUGUUUGCCCUCAGUCCUUGAGGCGGCUAAAAGCUCAUCUUAACUACAAUUUUGAGAACUUCGACGACCAGAAGAUCUGCCACUGUGGUGCGGACAAGUGUUCCAGGCUGAUCGUCAGCCAAGGGACGGAGAACCGGAUUGAGGAGGCUACAACGGUCUUGCGCGACUUGCAGGUGCAGAUUGCAACGUGGGUUACCUGCUCAAGUGCUCAAACGCCAACAGUGACCCACGUCAGCGGAAAAGUACCUUGCGGAUCCAUCGUGGAGAGAAUUCUACCUUGCCAAGGGUUGACCAUUAAACGUUCACGAAGAAACCAACCUAUGUUACUAAGUUGUGUGAACCGUAACAAAAGAAUAUAAAAAAAUGUAAAUGUUAUCGAAAUAAAUUUAAAACGCUGCGGCAGUUGCAGCCGCAAUCGGUGGAGCUACUCCGGUAGCCUCCUGAGCUUCGGUGGGAGAAUGUCCUUUUUUAUCAUCUGGCUGUUUAACUUCUGAUCCAAACAAUCCUAUCGAGGAAUCUUCGCAGUUCUUACCACCGCGGAUAUUCUAGCGGAAAGAUCCCGUUAGUCUCUGAGCCCCCACUUUUCUCGAUAAUUUCUCAUAACCUCACAUUUCACUCGCCGCAGCCGCAGUUUUCUGGAAGCUUAGAUUAAUUGGUGUUUAUUAGAAUUUAACAGUUCUGCUCCAGGAUGUUACAUUUGCAAUUCAGAGAUUUGGAGAACCUUUCAACUGAGAUCAAUUCAUUAGCCUUUACAGGGAGGGUACAUGUUUCUAAGUUUAGAUGUUGCUAGCUGCAUGCUCUUUUAGGGAAAAUAAAUUUUGAGAAAAAACCCUAGAUCUAUGUUUGGCUUAAGACUAAUAUCACAGUUGUUGACGGAGGAGUGCUUCGAUGAGCGGAUUCGUUGACAUCCCACAGGAAGUCCUGAAGGUUCUCGUUGCUUUUUCGAUGCUUGCGUCGAUGGUGUCGACGCCGGCCAGCUCGUGUAGAUCGUCGGUCGGGUACCACGGGUUCAAGUUGUGCACCAUCUUGAGCAGCUUGUUCUGCUUCACCUGGAGUCGCUUACGGUGCGAUUUGGCGCAGUUGCCCCAGACCACAAAGCUUAGAUUAAAAGACACUCAAAAUCGUUGGUAGUCAUGUUUUACUUCACUCAACAUAACACGCUCGCUGUAAAUUAAACCGUUCUCAUUAACCAACCCUGAUCUGGGACCGGAAGUAGCUGCCUCGCUCAUGUUGAAGUUGCGCGAAUCCAUUCUAGUUAUCCUUUAACUUGUUUCCUUCCAAACAAGUGCUUGUUGAAUAAUAAAGGGGAAAUAAUAGAUGACACUGCAAAACUCCUGACCAUCGUAAUUAUCCCGUUAGGUGUUCUUGCCACGUAACUUCCGGGAGACCCGAGAUUUUACGGUACUGACAAUCGUAUAUUCACCGGCUUCGCUGAAAGGGAAAACCAAAUGUCGUUGAGUCCCCUUCUUCUUCUUCUCAAAGACCGCCGCAAAGUCGGUGGCCGUUUGACCAAUGGCGUUACAGGCGGCGUAACGAACUCUCGGAUGGGAUCCAUCAAUUACUUGAGCACGCCCCGCAUGAUGUCCGUCUGCUUGUAGCAACCCUAGCCAGCGGUCGAGACGACUAUCAGAGCGGCGUGCCGUUACUUCCAGUUUGAAUGGUUCAACAUGUUUGAAAUGUUUGUGAUAAUGUGCGGCAGAAAGGGCCGAAGGCGGCGAUGGCCGGACAGCGGUCGAAGAUGGAAGCGGAAUUCGGUGGUUGUCGCAUAGCAUCUGGCAAUGUCUCCGAAGAUCGGCGUCGUACCGUCCAGCUGCAGCAGCUUGUUCGUCUUGAGCAGGUUCUCGGUGUGGUCAACUUCGCUGUGGGUAACCAUCGUGCCAGACGCAUCCACUCGUUCUGCAAGUGGAACACCAUGUCCUCGUAAUUGAGCGGAACGCACAUGAAGUAUGUAGAUGCCCCACAGGCCGGUUUCAUUUCCUAGAAGCACAGGUUGUCCUCGGCGUUUUUGGCGCCACCACUCUGCGUGCGAUACCACGCGCUAAUCAGCGUGUUGGCGACCAUCAGCGGAACAUUGUCUUGAUUGGUCCUGCCGCAAAUCAAGACGGCAAUGAUGACGAGCGCCACCAGUAGCGAAUCAUCUCGGUCGCGCACUUCAGAAUCGGUGAAUCGGCACGGCGUCAGAGCGGAAGCCUUUCCGUCGAAGGUGCUGCCUACCUUCCCGAGGUAAGACUCGAUCAGCUCAAGCAGGGCUCCUUGUUUGAUUCCACUGGCUGCGGCCAGGACGAUGCGGGGGCCUUGUAGUGCGAAUCGAUGUAAGCCUGCAGAUUCUUACAGUCUUGACCGUGGUGUUGACAGUGUUGCAAUCGGAAUGUCGGUGCAGACGUCGAGUGCGUGGAUUACCUCGUCAACGCACUUGCCCCACUCGUAGUUGGAGGCCGUUCCCGCGAGUCGUCUAUCGCCACCACCGAACCAUCCUCCGGGUUGAACGUCUCAAGCGGUUCGUCCAGCGUGGGGUAGAUUCCGCCGACGCACUUCGCAAUGGUUUUGUUCGCCGAGUCAUCAAUGUUAAACAUCUGCAGAUGCUCGUCCGAAUCGGCUUCAAUAUCGUGCGCUCCACCAGUUCUUGUUUGUUGUUUGGACAAACGACCACGACGGCGAUAAACUGCUGCCAGCCUUGUGCUGAAUGAUGUUGGAAACGGGCUGGUGAACCUGGACAAACUCAGGCGUGGACAGUAGGUCCGACCGGAAGUCACAAGUGACCUCGUAAAAGAUUCACGACAGAUCGGCCAGUUCGGCAUCUGAAAAGUGUGCAAACAAGAAGAAGAGCGAGAAUAUUAGUUACGUACUUCGAAAGGCGCUGGGUUCGCAGCGACAGAGCAUGCGUGAUUCCACGCGGUUGGGCAGUCCUUUACCAGUGAGCGUUGGCAACGACGAUCUGUCUGGAUUGAUGGCGUAUCCGGCGAGAAUCCAAUAUGAACCGUUGCGCAAUCCGCUGCAAGACCUUCUGGUGGCAAUGCGUGUUCAGGACUAGCUGAUUGAGUUAGUUCUUAUGCAUGUACCUGUUGCUGCUGCUAAUUCCUCCAACCGUACUGCCGGACAAACUUCUAUUGUUGCUACCAGUCUCCUCCACCGCCACCCGAGCUUGAAAUGCUACUUCCGGCACUACUUCCCGAGCUUCCACCGCUACAUCCACUGGAAACCAGGCUACUCGCGGCACUGCUCGUGGCCGUACUGGAUGCGGUCGUGGACCCCGGCGGGGAUGCAGGAUCGUACCACAACACAACAAACGGAAGACCUCCGCACGGGAAUAUUCAAUCCGCUUCUUGGGUAGGUAGAAAAUCCGUCAUCGUCCUCCAUCAUUUUCCCACGUGUUUCAUGUUUUUGUUUUGCUUUUUCACUGCUCGAAUCAAAUGUCAGCGUGAAAUGUCAUUUUAUGGUUGCCGAACUCAUUCGAGCAGUUUGACAGCUCAAAUCGUGAGAUUUUUUCAAAUCGCGCUCACAUCGCGAUGAAAUCGCGCUCAUCGCACCAAAUCGCGCUCAUCGUGUCUAAUCGAGGGAAAUCGUGGUCAUCGAGGCUAAAUCGCGAGCUCAUCGCGGGAGUGUCAUUCCCCUCGCCAGAAACUAUAACAUAGCAUUAGCCGCCAUUCCGUGCAUCAAAUAGACAGAGCAAGAAUAUAAAAAUUCGCCACUUUAAUGCAUGUGGGCAAAUAAAAAAAAAAUCGAAAAUUUAACUUUUUUUUUGAAAAAAUAUCAAUUUUUAUUUGUUUUCAUUAUUAUGAGAACAAACAACACAAAAAGUCUCAAAAAGUAAAAAAAUAUUUUUGGCCGCUCGCUUCUAUGGAAAUACCCCACGUCAUGUUUUUGUAUUGUUCCGUUGCAGGUAACUUGCCUUGAAACUUUAAUUAACAAAAGUUAUACUCAAAAGUAUUAAAAAUUUGUAAAAUCCAUAUAUUUAUACCAAAUAACUUUAUAUUUUUGUUAAAUGGAGUUAAAACUCAAUAAAUAUGCCAAAAAUCACUUUCAAUUCAUGUUUUGAAAGAAUUACAUAGAUUUUGAUAAGUUUAUUUAAGAAAAAUAAAAGUGUCUCAUUGUUACCCAUGGGCUGAAAGGAGUGGGGAACAAUGAGACAGCCCUGGAUUCUGGGUAUAUUCUUAAUUUUGGCCAAACCUAAUGAAGGGACAUUGUAGCCCAACUCAUUCCCUAUGAACAGUCGAAAAAAAAUCUAAAGAAAUGUUAGUUUUGGUGUUAAUGGCAGCCUACGAGCGAAAAAGUAAUUUUUGUCCAUAAUUAUUUAUUUACACCCCAGAAUCAAACAUUAAUGAAUAACUUUUCAACGGAGCUUCCAUAACCAAAGCCACUAUUAUGGCAGAUGUGUAUCCUGUAGACACAUCUUUCCCCAAAAUAUGAGCCUGAUUGGUUGAAACUACUACUUUUGAGAGCCAUUCUAUCAUUGUUCCCCGUGUCUCAUUAAUGACUACUCUACCCUAAACUUCUAUCAAAAAUAUUUAUUCCCAUAAAAUUUCAUUAUCUUUCUUCAAAAAUUUGCGUCAACUUUCACCGAUAAAGACCGAUUAAAUUAAAUUAACAUCAAAAAUAUUUGCAGCAGCUUAACCUGAUUGCAAUGUUUCUUGAGGCAUGCAAAUUGCAAUGAAUAGCGCAUGUUUGUUUUUUGAUAUUUUUUUAUGUUUUGUGAAAUUUGGAUCAACUGAUUAAAAGCUUUUUGAACAAAACUGUUGGCAAAGUGUAACUUUUUGUUUUCUAUUAUUUAAAUGACGAUAAUGUAAAAAAGUACAUGGAAUUAUUUGAAAUCUUCAGCUGAUCAAAGUAUUUUCAGCCUUAUAGAUUGUAAAAACAUAAUUCAUUUUUAAAUAUUUAGCUUUAAAUUUGGCCCGCCAUUUAAAAACUUUGAGCACCCCUGGUAUAAGCUAAUUGCUAAUCUACAAACUGAAAAUCAUAAUCAACUAGUCGGUUAUUAUUGUUUAUUAGGGCAUGUGUCUUGCCCCUCGCAUUUAAGCGAGCGAGACCAUCCAUAAACCAUGUGGACACUUUUUUGAAAUGUCUAACCCCCCCCCCCCCCCUCCCUUUCCCCCUCGUGUACAAUUUCCAUACAAAACAAAUCUUUAUUGUAUGGAGCAUGGACAAUCCCCCCCUGAGGUGUCAACUUGGUUUAAGGAUGGUUCCUUAUAUUUGAAAAAUAAAAUUAAAAACUAACUUCAAACUAAUGCGAAAAAUGAAGCGAAAUCAUGUAAUCUAGAGGUCCAUAGGAAUAAAAAAAACUCUCACAUAAAAAAAAAUCAAUAAUAAUAAUACACAUUCUGUAUUUUGUUUCAAUUGCAGGAGACGUUAAGAAAAUUAUGUAUUAUAAUGUUCAUAAUUAGCCAUAUAGAAAAUAAGCUCUCAACAACGAUGCUACAAAAUCUUUGCUGUUAAUAGAAGGUGCAAGUUGACCUAGAUAUGGUAUUUACUAUGUAUUAAUAAGAUAAAAACUAGAAAUAAAUUCAUCAGCCAUGGUAGUUGAACCCCUUCUUUAAAAUGUA
Culex pipiens pallens (northern house mosquito) is the source of this 5653-nucleotide long non-coding RNA. RefSeq lists it as uncharacterized. The transcript has 2 exons. Lineage: Eukaryota; Metazoa; Arthropoda; Insecta; Diptera; Culicidae. The record is from RefSeq and is a predicted model, not a curated record.